AGCACCUUCUCAUUGCCUUCAAAGAUGACUUAAUCUUACAGGAUCAGGCCCACAUAUUGCAAGCAGUAGAACAGAAACUCCCUCUGUCCUUCUUAUGGCAGUAUCCCCGGGGAGCAAUUCAGUCUGAGAGGAAAAGGAACAUGUACAGAGUAGCUAUGGGACAAUCUAAUCAGCAUGAUCAGAAGUGAUCAACGCACACCAGCUGUCUAAGGAACUGGGGAUCAGACCUAUAAGCCAAUACAGUCACAGGUCAAGAAUUGUCUGGAAAUACAGUAAAUAAAAGAUUAUCGUAUGACUGUGAAGAAAGUUAACUUGCACUUCAGAGCCAGAUGGUGUAGACUUGAAUGCUAAGAAGAUAAGUAUUUAGAAACUAAUUAGAGUAGCCAGCAUGAUAGCGUAUUUACUUACACUUGCUUGGUUUCUCCUUUGUUCUCCUUGAAGUAUUUAUUCCCAAAUAUUGCCACCACCAU
This is a long non-coding RNA of Mauremys reevesii (Reeves's turtle), 470 nucleotides long. RefSeq lists it as uncharacterized. The record is from RefSeq and is a predicted model, not a curated record. The transcript has 3 exons. NCBI's taxonomy places the organism in Eukaryota, Metazoa, Chordata, Testudines, Geoemydidae.